AUCUCAUGAUGAGGACACUCGAGUAUGUAGUCUUUAAAGCGCUCCCAAGCUUCUGGGACUGUCUCAUCAUGUUGUUGCUAAAAAAAUUUAUAUCUUCCUACAAAGAGC
This 108-nucleotide small nucleolar RNA is filed under the name Sorghum bicolor (sorghum). RNAcentral describes it as "Plant small nucleolar RNA R71". It matches the Rfam family "Plant small nucleolar RNA R71". Rfam says of the family: R71 is a member of the C/D box family of snoRNAs containing the C (UGAUGA) and D (CUGA) box motifs. Multiple nearly identical copies of this snoRNA have been identified in Arabidopsis, and it is thought to function as a 2'-O-ribose methylation guide for 18S ribosomal RNA. Lineage: Eukaryota; Viridiplantae; Streptophyta; Magnoliopsida; Poales; Poaceae. The record is from Rfam by way of RNAcentral.